RNAcentral lists this ribosomal RNA (253 nucleotides) under uncultured bacterium. RNAcentral's name for it is "partial 16S ribosomal RNA". It matches the Rfam family "Bacterial small subunit ribosomal RNA", at positions 524 to 776 of the family's 1533-position model. The record is from RNAcentral.
UACAGAGGUCUCAAGCGUUGUUCGGAUUCAUUGGGCGUAAAGGGUGUGUAGGCGGCGCCGUAAGUCGGGUGUGAAAUUUCGGAGCUUAACUCCGAAACUGCAUUCGAUACUGCGGUGCUUGAGGACUGGAGAGGAGACUGGAAUUCAUGGUGUAGCAGUGAAAUGCGUAGAGAUCAUGAGGAAGACCAGUGGCGAAGGCGGGUCUCUGGACAGUACCUGACACUGAGACACGAAGGCCAGGGGAGCAAACGGG